RNAcentral lists this ribosomal RNA (710 nucleotides) under uncultured fungus. RNAcentral describes it as "LSU rRNA". It matches the Rfam family "Eukaryotic large subunit ribosomal RNA", at positions 23 to 664 of the family's 3401-position model. Lineage: Eukaryota; Fungi. The record is from RNAcentral.
ACCCGCUGAACUUAAGCAUAUCAAUAAGCGGAGGAAAAGAAACUAACAAGGAUUCCCCUAGUAACGGCGAGUGAAGCGGGAAUAGCUCAAAUUUGAAAUCUCACAGGUUCCCUGUGCGAAUUGUAGUUUAAAGAAAUAUUUACGAAGACAACCUAGGCAUAAGUCCUUUGGAACAGGGCAUCAUAGAAGGUGAGAAUCCUGUAUAUGGUCUGGUGUUGUUUUUAUGUGUUAUAUUUUCAAAGAGUCGGGUUGUUUGGGAAUGCAGCCCAAAAUGGGUGGUAAAUACCAUCUAAAGCUAAAUAUUGGCGAGAGACCGAUAGCGAACAAGUACCGUGAGGGAAAGAUGAAAAGAACUUUGAAAAGAGAGUUAAAUAGUACGUGAAAUUGUCAAAAGGGAAACACUUGAAACCAGUCUUGUUUGUGGAAUCCCAACUAGUUUAACGACUAGCAUAUGUUUCCACUGGCAGGUCAACAUCGGUUUUGACUGGAGUACAAAGCUUGAGGAAGGUGGCCUUCGGGUGUUACAGCCUCAAGUCAUGCUCUGGUUGAGACCGAGGAAUGCAGCUCAGUCUUGGGGACCCGUUCGCCAGUUGAAUAACUUUUUAAACUACUUGUAGAUUAAGAAGGAGCUAAGACUGCUCGGUCGGUAUACCACACCUGUGCUUAGGAUGUUGACAUAAUGGUUUUAAAUGACCCGUCUUGAAACACGG